GGGAGAAGAGCUCAGCUCCACUCCACUGCCCCAUCGCUUACCUUCUCCUUCCUCCUCGUCUAGUUCCUCUUCACCGUCCACUGUAGUGAGCUCAGCGCCGACUUCGGCCCAUUCCUCUCCGCACCUCCGCCGCCGCCCCCGCCCUCUCCAUCCGUCGCACUCGAACAUUAGCGGCGGCCCCAUCCCCGCUGAAACCCAAAACCCUCCAUCAUCUCCACCAAGAAACACUGAAUUACCUCAAGAACCCAGAUUUGCACCAAAAUAAGUCCAAAUCCGUAUUUAGUGUAUAGCACACGGUGGAAGAGUCUUUGGGGAGAAGACUGGGGCAAGACAGGAGA
This 338-nucleotide long non-coding RNA is filed under the name Elaeis guineensis (African oil palm). Its description in RNAcentral is "long non-coding RNA (EGUI_LNC011218)". The record is from RNAcentral. Lineage: Eukaryota; Viridiplantae; Streptophyta; Magnoliopsida; Arecales; Arecaceae.